ACCCGCUGAACUUAAGCAUAUCAAUAAGCGGAGGAAAAGAAACCAACAGGGAUUGCCCUAGUAACGGCGAGUGAAGCGGCAACAGCUCAAAUUUGAAAUCUGGCGUCUUUGGCGUCCGAGUUGUAAUUUGCAGAGGGCGCUUUGGCAUUGGCAGCGGUCCAAGUUCCUUGGAACAGGACGUCACAGGGGGUGAGAAUCCCGUACGUGGUCGCUAGCCUUUACCGUGUAAAGCCCCUUCGACGAGUCGAGUUGUUUGGGAAUGCAGCUCUAAAUGGGAGGUAAAUUUCUUCUAAAGCUAAAUACUGGCCAGAGACCGAUAGCGCACAAGUAGAGUGAUCGAAAGAUGAAAAGCACUUUGGAAAGAGAGUUAAAAAGCACGUGAAAUUGUUGAAAGGGAAGCGCUUGCAGCCAGACUUGCCUGUAGUUGCUCAUCCGGGUUUUUACCCGGUGCACUCUUCUAUAGGCAGGCCAGCAUCAGUUUGGGCGGUUGGAUAAAGGUCUCUGUCAUGUACCUCUCUUCGGGGAGAACUUAUAGGGGAGACGACAUGCAACCAGCCCGGACUGAGGUCCGCGCAUCUGCUAGGAUGCUGGCGUAAUGGCUGU
This 603-nucleotide ribosomal RNA is filed under the name uncultured fungus. RNAcentral describes it as "eukaryotic LSU rRNA". It matches the Rfam family "Eukaryotic large subunit ribosomal RNA", at positions 23 to 641 of the family's 3401-position model. The record is from RNAcentral. Lineage: Eukaryota; Fungi.